Molecule: ribosomal RNA, 469 nt
Filed under: uncultured bacterium
Lineage: Bacteria
Description: partial 16S ribosomal RNA
Rfam family: Bacterial small subunit ribosomal RNA
Source: RNAcentral
GACGAACGCUGGCGGCGUGCUUAACACAUGCCAGUCGAACGGAAAGGCCCUGCUUGCAGGGUGCUCGAGUGGCGAACGGGUGAGUAACACGUGGGUGAUCUGCCCCUUACUUUGGGAUAAGCCUGGGAAACUGGGUCUAAUACUGGAUAGGACCAUGCUGUAGGUGGUGUGGUGGAAAGAUUAGUUUCGGUAAGGGAUGAGCUCGCGGCCUAUCAGCUUGUUGGUGGGGUAAUGGCCUACCAAGGCGUCGACGGGUAGCCGGCCUGAGAGGGUGGACGGCCACAUUGGGACUGAGAUACGGCCCAGACUCCUACGGGAGGCAGCAGUGGGGAAUAUUGCACAAUGGGCGCAAGCCUGAUGCAGCGACGCCGCGUGGGGGAUGACGGCCUUCGGGUUGUAAACUCCUUUCAGCCAUGACGAAGCCCUUGUGAUGACGGUAGUGGUAGAAGAAGCACCGGCUAACUACGUG